RNAcentral lists this unclassified non-coding RNA (332 nucleotides) under soil metagenome. Its description in RNAcentral is "partial contains 5.8S ribosomal RNA, internal transcribed spacer 2, and large subunit ribosomal RNA". The stretch from base 1 to 120 matches the Rfam family "5.8S ribosomal RNA", at positions 35 to 154 of the family's 154-position model. The record is from RNAcentral.
GAUGAAGAACGUAGCGAAAUGCGAUAAGUAAUGUGAAUUGCAGAAUUCAGCGAAUCAUCGAAUCUUUGAACGCACAUUGCGCCCGCUAGUAUUCUGGCGGGCAUGCCUGUUCGAGCGUCAUUUCAACCCUCAAGCACAGCUUGGUGUUGGGACUCGCGUUAAUUCGCGUUCCCCAAAUUGAUUGGCGGUCACGUCGAGCUUCCAUAGCGUAGUAGUAAAACCCUCGUUACUGGUAAUCGUCGCGGCCACGCCGUUAAACCCCAACUUCUGAAUGUUGACCUCGGAUCAGGUAGGAAUACCCGCUGAACUUAAGCAUAUCAAUAAGCGGAGGA